UACGAAGGGGGCUAGCGUUGCUCGGAAUUACUGGGCGUAAAGGGCGCGUAGGCGGCACUGUUAGUCAGGCGUGAAAGUCCUGGGCUCAACCUGGGAACUGCGCUUGAUACGGCAGAGCUAGAGGAUGGAAGAGGCUCGCGGAAAUCCCAGUGUAGAGGUGAAAUUCGUAGAUAUUGGGAAGAACACCGGUGGCGAAGGCGGCGAGCUGGUCCAUUACUGACGCUGAGGCGCGACAGCGUGGGGAGCAAACAGG
Molecule: ribosomal RNA, 253 nt
Filed under: uncultured bacterium
Lineage: Bacteria
Description: partial 16S ribosomal RNA
Rfam family: Bacterial small subunit ribosomal RNA
Source: RNAcentral